UGAGGGAUAUUGGUCAAUGGGCGCAAGCCUGAACCAGCGACGCCGCGUGGGUGAAGAAGGUCUUCGGAUCGUAAAGCCCUUUUCCCACUGAAGAGGAAGGACGGUAGGUGGGGAAGAAGUCUCGGCUAACUAUGUGCCAGCAGCCGCGGUAAAACGUAGGAGACAAGCGUUAUCCGGAGUUACUGGGCGUAAAGGGCGUGCAGGUGGCGUCUUAAGUCUGUUGUGAAAGCGCCUGGCUUAACCGGGCGAGGCCAAUGGAGACUGAGAGGCUGGAGGACGGCGGAGGGGUGUGGAAUUCCGGGUGUAGUGGUGAAAUGCGUAGAGAUCCGGAGGAACACCAGGGGCGAAGGCGGCACUCUAAGCCGUACCUGACACUGAGACGCGACAGCACGGGGAGCAAACG
This 403-nucleotide ribosomal RNA is filed under the name uncultured bacterium. Its description in RNAcentral is "bacterial SSU rRNA". It matches the Rfam family "Bacterial small subunit ribosomal RNA", at positions 355 to 774 of the family's 1533-position model. The record is from RNAcentral.